GCUUUGGCUAGAACUAGAUUCUAUCGCCUUUGCCAUAAUCAGGUCCAUUUUGUCGCUUUGGCCUUAAUGGACCAAGAUUUAUUUUGUCCCUAUGCCCUUAAUAAUUCUAUCCCAUCUUGAUGUUAUGGCCUUGAUGCAGAUCAAAGUCGCUUUUGAUCAGAGUUGGACUAUAAAGCAUCGUUCUGUGAUCUAGAAGUAGAUCCAUUUUGUCGCUAUGGCCUUAAUGGAUAAAGAAUCAUUUUGUCUCUAUGGCCUUGAUGAUACUAUCCCAUCUUGUCGCUAUGGCCUUAAUGUGGAUCACACUUAACCUUUCUUUGGGGAGGGUGGGGAUACUGGCAUUACACGCAUGUCAUCUUAUGCUCUCUGCAGGGGGUACUGCUGAUACAUGCCUGAUUACGUCAGUCACUCCGAGCAAUGCCCUUCAACAAAGACUAGAGUUUCGUUCGCUUUAUGCCGGGCCCCUGGAAGGCUGCCACGAUUGCGAAACAAAGGUUACCGUCAAAUC
RNAcentral lists this long non-coding RNA (505 nucleotides) under Zostera marina. RNAcentral's name for it is "long non-coding RNA (ZMAR_LNC000863)". Lineage: Eukaryota; Viridiplantae; Streptophyta; Magnoliopsida; Alismatales; Zosteraceae. The record is from RNAcentral.